This 253-nucleotide ribosomal RNA is filed under the name uncultured bacterium. RNAcentral describes it as "partial 16S ribosomal RNA". It matches the Rfam family "Bacterial small subunit ribosomal RNA", at positions 524 to 776 of the family's 1533-position model. The record is from RNAcentral.
UACGAAGGGGGCUAGCGUUGCUCGGACUUACUGGGCGUAAAGGGCGCGUAGGCGGACAGUUUAGUCGGGGGUGAAAGCCCGGGGCUCAACCCCGGAACUGCCUUCGAUACUGGCUGUCUUGAGUACGGGAGAGGUGUGUGGAACUCCGAGUGUAGAGGUGAAAUUCGUAGAUAUUGGGAAGAACACCGGUGGCGAAGGCGGCGACCUGGUCCGUGACUGACGCUGAGGCGCGAAAGCGUGGGGAGCAAACAGG